GGACGUGUGCCUGAAUGCUCAAGGACUACUUUGAUAGAGUACUUAAUAGAGGUUAAAAUCCUCUCACUUCC
This 71-nucleotide transfer RNA is filed under the name Sceloporus jalapae. RNAcentral describes it as "tRNA-Ile". It matches the Rfam family "tRNA". Rfam says of the family: Transfer RNA (tRNA) molecules are approximately 80 nucleotides in length. Their secondary structure includes four short double-helical elements and three loops (D, anti-codon, and T loops). Further hydrogen bonds mediate the characteristic L-shaped molecular structure. tRNAs have two regions of fundamental functional importance: the anti-codon, which is responsible for specific mRNA codon recognition, and the 3' end, to which the tRNAs corresponding amino acid is attached (by aminoacyl-tRNA synthetases). tRNAs cope with the degeneracy of the genetic code in two manners: having more than one tRNA (with a specific anti-codon) for a particular amino acid; and 'wobble' base-pairing, i.e. permitting non-standard base-pairing at the 3rd anti-codon position. Lineage: Eukaryota; Metazoa; Chordata; Lepidosauria; Squamata; Phrynosomatidae. The record is from RNAcentral.